RNAcentral lists this ribosomal RNA (425 nucleotides) under uncultured bacterium. Its description in RNAcentral is "bacterial SSU rRNA". It matches the Rfam family "Bacterial small subunit ribosomal RNA", at positions 354 to 796 of the family's 1533-position model. The record is from RNAcentral.
GUGAGGAAUAUUGGGCAAUGGGCGAAAGCCUGACCCAGCAACGCCGCGUGGAUGAUGAAGGCCUUCGGGUUGUAAAAUCCUUUUCUGAGGGACGAUAAUGACGGUACCUUAGGAAGAAGUCCCGGCUAACUACGUGCCAGCAGCCGCGGUAAAACGUAGGGGGCGAGCGUUAUCCGGAUUUAUUGGGCGUAAAGCGCACGUAGGCGGCACGGUAAGUUGGGCGUGAAAGCUCUCGGCUUAACUGAGAGAGGUCGUUCAAAACUACCGUGCUUGAGGUUGGAAGAGGAGAGCGGAAUUCCCGGUGUAGUGGUGGAAUGCGUAGAUAUCGGGAGGAACACCAGUGGCGAAAGCGGCUCUCUGGUCCACACCUGACGCUGAGGUGCGAAAGCGUGGGGAGCGAACGGGAUUAGAUACCCUAGUAGUCC